UACGUAGGGGGCGAGCGUUGUCCGGAAUUAUUGGGCGUAAAGCGCGUGUAGGCGGCUUGGUAAGUCCGCUGUGAAAACUCGGGGCUCAACCCCGAGCCUGCGGUCGAUACGGGCAGACUUGAGUUCGGCAGGGGAGACUGGAAUUCCAGGUGUAGCGGUGAAAUGCGUAGAUAUCUGGAGGAACACCGGUGGCGAAGGCGGCAUUCUGGACCGAAACUGACGCUGAGGCGCGAAAGCCAGGGGAGCAGACGGG
RNAcentral lists this ribosomal RNA (253 nucleotides) under uncultured bacterium. RNAcentral describes it as "partial 16S ribosomal RNA". It matches the Rfam family "Bacterial small subunit ribosomal RNA", at positions 524 to 776 of the family's 1533-position model. The record is from RNAcentral.